GAUGAAGAACGCAGCGAAAUGCGAUACGUAAUGUGAAUUGCAGAAUUCAGUGAAUCAUCGAGUCUUUGAACGCACAUUGCGCCCCCUGGUAUUCCGGGGGGCAUGCCUGUCCGAGCGUCAUUGCUGCCCUCAAGCACGGCUUGUGUGUUGGGCCUCCGUCCUCCUCCCGGGGGACGGGCCCGAAAGGCAGCGGCGGCACCGCGUCCGGUCCUCGAGCGUAUGGGGCUUCGUCACCCGCUCUUGUAGGCCCGGCCGGCGCUUGCCGACACAUCAAUCUUUUUUCCAGGUUGACCUCGGAUCAGGUAGGGAUACCCGCUGAACUUAAGCAUAUCAAUAAACGGAGGA
RNAcentral lists this unclassified non-coding RNA (345 nucleotides) under soil metagenome. RNAcentral describes it as "partial contains 5.8S ribosomal RNA, internal transcribed spacer 2, and large subunit ribosomal RNA". The stretch from base 1 to 120 matches the Rfam family "5.8S ribosomal RNA", at positions 35 to 154 of the family's 154-position model. The record is from RNAcentral.